AACGAACGCUGGCGGCAGGCUUAACACAUGCAAGUCGAACGCCCCGCAAGGGGAGUGGCAGACGGGUGAGUAACGCGUGGGAAUCUACCCAGUUCUACGGAACAACUGAGGGAAACUUCAGCUAAUACCGUAUACGCCCUACGGGGGAAAGAUUUAUCGGAAUUGGAUGAGCCCGCGUAAGAUUAGCUAGUUGGUGGGGUAAAGGCCUACCAAGGCGACGAUCUUUAGCUGGUCUGAGAGGAUGAUCAGCCACACUGGGACCGAGACACGGCCCAGACUCCUACGGGAGGCAGCAGUGGGGAAUAUUGGACAAUGGGCGCAAGCCUGAUCCAGCCAUGCCGCGUGAGUGAUGAAGGCCUUAGGGUUGUAAAGCUCUUUCAGUGGGGACGAUAAUGACGGUACCCACAGAAGAAGCCCCGGCUAACUUCGUGCCAGCAGCCGCGGUAA
This 447-nucleotide ribosomal RNA is filed under the name uncultured bacterium. Its description in RNAcentral is "partial 16S ribosomal RNA". It matches the Rfam family "Bacterial small subunit ribosomal RNA", at positions 29 to 523 of the family's 1533-position model. The record is from RNAcentral.